AUGUCUGCUACAGCAGAGCCUGCAGUAAGCCACUAACCUACAGAUUUAUGCAUUACUUUCUCACGGAUUAUUUAACAAAUAAAAAGAAAACUGCAAAACAUUCCUGUGCCGUUGUACUGGUAUUGAGGUCAGAUCUCAUUGUUGAUCGCUGUAUUUCAGUUCAUUUGCUAUUGGGUCAUCAAUGAACUGAACUUCAAGGGACCAAAGUUAAUUUCUUUACAAUUGAUAUACUUUGGCUAGGCUGAUGUCUGAUCCAAUUAUCAGCCAAAUGCUGAUGUGGCUUUUCUUACCAGUGCACAAAAUGCUAUUAUAAAAAAGAAGGGGGGGGAGGGAGGGAGGGGUAAAGGCAAGGAAGGCCAACUUUGUGGGAGAGACGCGAUACCCCCAACCAUUUCACAGAAAGCGUGACCUGAGUCCUGACCCUUGCCAUUGAUUGGUCAAGGGUCACUAAUCUUUGCAUGAGAGAGUGAGGUCCAGCGACCACUUCCCCCACCCCUUGUACUCUCUCUCUCUCUCCCCUCCCCGCCUCCUCUGUUGUCCUUCUCUUUUCUUUCCUUCUUUUUUCUUCUCCUACUUCUCUCUUCUCUCUCUCUUCCUCUCCCUUCUUUCUUCUUCCUUACCUUCCUUUCUCUCUUCUCUCCCCUUUUCCUUCUUUCUUCUUUUCCCUUUCUCCCCUUUUUUCCUUCCCUCUUUUCNNNNNNNNNNNNNNNNNNNNNNNNNNNNNNNNNNNNNNNNNNNNNNNNNNNNNNNNNNNNNNNNNNNNNNNNNNNNNNNNNNNNNNNNNNNNNNNNNNNNCGUUGCGCUAGGCGACCUUUUUUUCUGAAUAAACGGGCCGGUCAAGAUCUCUUUUCCUCCUCUCUUUUUGCCUCCUUUUUUUUUUUUUUUCAAUACUUUUUCCCCCCCCCCCCCCCCCCCCCCCCCCCCCCUCUUCCCUCUCUCCUUUUUCUUCCUUUCUGGUUUUCCCUUAUUUUCGAAAGUAUUGCUACCACAUGUACAACCUGAAAAAGCUACAUCAACAUUUUAUCUAUGGAAAUCCAGGCAAAUUAAAUCAAUUGUAUGUAUAACGCCGAUCAAAAUCACAAUUCGAUUAUCCAAUUGAAAAAUGGACCAAAGUAAAGUGAUCCCUGAAAAUAUUUAACACAAAUUGAGAUACUAGUUGUGAAUCAAGAUAUUACAAUGAAUCAUGUCCAAUUUUCAAUGUCUGGCAAAGGAGACUAAACUUAUAUUCUGUGCCUCAGAGCAACAAAAUUAAACCUGUUGCAAAAUAACAUGCUUUGAGUGAUGUAAAGUGAUUUAAUACCACAACACCUGGGCUGAUGCUGCAGCACCAAGGGAUUGACUUGACAAUUAAGACAGGCAAGUUUGGACUUCUCGCCCCUACACCUUUUCAAUCUUUACUGUCACUAGGGUGUAUGGAAAUUGGAAAUGGGCUAACCCCGAAGAGGUUUCAAAGGUGCGCAGGCCUAUGAAGAAAUGGAUUUCCUCCACAUGAGCCAAAACAAGGUGAUUACAUGAUAAAGACAAGGAAGAAUGCCACUCACACUUAAUAUCAUAGUCUAGAAAAUAUUGCCAUAUACAGACUCAAACCAGUUAUAUCAUUUGUAUGUGCUCCAACCACAAAAUCAUCAUAAAACGGGGAUAUAAAAAUAGCUUAUAUUGUGGCAGAACUAUCAUUCCACAUAGUGGAUUCCUUUUACUUUUGACUUGAAGCAUCUGAAAUAUGUCAGUUUGGUAAAAAGUGGAGAACAAAAAAGGUUAUGGGAAAUUCAUGCUGCAUAAAUUCACCAGUUGCUCAGCGUUAUACAUUGGCUUGCAACUCUCGGUGUAUACACAUAUUUUUAAGUUAGUGAUUAGUAUUAGAAAUUCAUGAGUGAGGGUUAACUUUUUAUUUUUCACAUACUUUUGUUUACGUUUUCUACUUGGCCUGCUUUUUAUUUCCAAAAAAAAGCUUAAUUUUGAAUUUUAGUUGAUGUAUUUUUUAUUUGUCUUAAUUGCUCUUUCAUCCUUUCAGUUAUAUCUUUUAAUGUAACUCAAUUUAUAAGAAGUCUCUUCAUGUUUUGUUCUUUCUAAGAGACUUUUCAUUAGUAAGAGUAAUUUAAAGAAAAAGUCCAACUUAAAAUUUUGUUAUUUUUUAGAAUAAACAUCCCUAGAUUCUUUAAAUGCCCUCUAAUUCUAAAGUGCAUAGAUGGUUAGUUACAAAUUGUAAUUAUAUAUAUAUGUAUUCAUACUAUUUAGGUCUCCAAUAAAGUUGAAUUGGAUUAUCAAAAUUGAAAAAUUUAGUGCAUAUUAGCUGGGGCUUCAAACAAUCACCCUUUGGUUUUCCACCCAAAAAGUAUUUACUUAGCAUUUUAAAUUAUUAUGGACCAAUGAAAAUGAAUCAAAAUGUCAAUAUUCUGUAUGUUUCUGAUGUCCCAUGUAUCAAAUCACCCCAAACACCCGCUUAGAAUCUUACUAUGUGCCUAUAAUAUCAGAAGAAGUCAAGACAAUCCAUAAACUUUUCAUUCCUCAAUUGUCACAAGAGGUAGAGGUAUUAAUGCAUUGAAAGAGGAAGUACCUUCCGAUUUGCCUAAUGGUUACGCCUUUGAUUUACGAAGCUUCAUUAGUUUAUCUCUCCACAAGGCUGCAAAAGUUAACAGUCAAGAACAAGUAAUCAAGAGAGAACUAUUCGUGAAGUUGAUAAUGAAUUACUGUAAAACAAGGAAACUCAAGCUUGAUGAAGAAAAGCUUUGUGAGAAAUAAGCAUGAAAAUAAACUCCCUUCAAAUGUACCUGCAUCAUUGUAUCGUUCCUCUUUGAUAGCUAGAUUCAUGUUUUUGACUAUAUCAAGUUCUUCAGCCAGUGCAUCUGGACCGUCUGAAGCACUGAAUGAGAUGUAAAUUAUGCUUAGAUGAAGAAAUUUCAUGUAUGUUUGCAUACUUUGAGUUUUCUACAUCACUAGACAAAACUUAUGCUCGUAAAUUCAGGUACCUGUCAAGUAAGACAUCAUAGACUGGUUUUCUGUCACGCGUUCUCCCUGUUCCAUAGCUAAAUCCGAUAGCAUCUCUGAGGACAAUUUGCUUAUUUACAUAUAUUGGCACCUGCAGAACACAGCUCUCUAUCAGGAACAAAGCCCAAAUAACGAAAUAAAGGAAGACAUUGUCUAAACCUAAAAAGAGGCAAAAUGUGGUCGGUGAUGAUGGAUACAGAUGACUUGAACCACAUAAUUGACAAGAAACCAAAGCAGAAGUUCUUUUUAAAAGAUAUCUAUAAAACAAGCCAAAAGAAAAAAGGAAAACAAAAGAAAGCUCAGUUGAUAAUUUCAGAACUAUACUGGCAAAGACAUCAACACCACAAAUUUAUAUGAGAUCAAUCCAUUGAGCAAUUUCCCCUUUCUCAUUUGCCCUUUAAGUUUACCAUAAAAAGGAACUUGGAUCUAACCAGACCUAGUGGUACAAGCAUGUAUCUACAAAACUUCAGAGGUCAGGUUUGAGGGGGUUUCAUUAUUCAAUAUUUGCAGAACAAAUUGACACUUGCAAGUAGGUGAGACACAUAAUACAAACCUUGCACCUAUAAGCCACAUUUAUGGCAUCUGAUGGACGAACAUCUACACUUAGGACAUCAUCUUUCCCUGACUGCAGAAAAGGAAAUGCUUUGUUGCACCAUUAAAUAAUGAACCAUAAGGCUGAUGACUUCUAGAAUUUAGCAUUUUGUGCAAGCAACGAGCUUUAAUUACCUUGCUGAAAUACAAUCUGGCAAAGUAAGUGUUUGCCACUCUUUGUGUGAUCCUUACCAUCUUUAUCUGCAAAGAAGGGAAACGAGAUUCAUCUAUUAUAACCUUUAACUACAUCUCUGGAUGAGUAAUGUUAGAAACGCAAAGAAGUCGAUUUGCAACAGAAAGCUAAUGCUAGAAACGCAGAUGGGAGAGUAGCAAUAGAAAGGUUUUACCAACAUAUUUAGUGUUCAAACAAAAUAUAAAAGCUAAUUGAAAGUUUCUAAUCUAGAUUUCUUACAUUGCUCUAGUGUAUUCUUUAAACAUCAUUUACACAAACUGAAUCGAUGUUUCAUAUGCCUCAAUUCCAUGGAGACCAAAUCACACUUCUAUUUGAGAACCAAUCUUCCUAACAACACACUUCAGAAUUAUGGUAUAGAGCAUGGUACUAGAUUAAUAACUCAAUCAACUGACUAUAUGAAGCUUUGUGCAUACAUUAUACUCUAAUAACAGCAACAACAUCAAGCCAAUGCCAUUUGCAGCACAGUAGUGAUGGGACUAUUUGAGGGUAUAUGUUGAAUUUUUUAAGGCUCAGUUCUUCAUAUUAACCUAAUUUGAACGUCAAAGCAAGCAGUGUGUGCUAAUAAGAUUAAAAACAGCAUAUGUUUGAGACAAAACAACUUGAUAGAUUCUAUUAUCAUAACAAAAUAUAGUAUAUCAAUGUGUUUUCCAGUCAAUGAUAUAAAAUGGAGUUAAAUGAAACAGUGAAGUACAGGGUGUCAGUUUUCGGUAAAUCUCAGUGUAUCUUUCUGCGUACUCCAUCUAAGACUUCAAAAUACCCAAACGCUUGCUUAUCCCAUCAUAGGGUUUACAUAAAGCUAGCAACACACAAUUAAGCCUCAACCAGUUCCUAAAAGUGAAAUCUUUGAACGUACUUCAAAACCAACUUUGUCUGUAAGAUCCUUCACAAAAUCAAAUUGAUCUGCACAGUCCUGCAUAAGACCAUAGAACAUUUAGAUUAAAGGAAAUAUAACAUUCACUAAAAGCCACAAAUAAUUAAUUACCCCAUCUUCACCACUGCGAAGGGCAUCAAUUAGUUUUUCAAUUGCAAAUUCUCCUAAAGAAACAAAAGAAAUUAGCAACACAUCAGUCCAGAAGCUCUAGAAAACAAGACAAAAGACAGGAGAAAAGUUCGCAGGAAACUAUUCAUAUACCUACAACAAUGGGUAGCAGGAAAUCUCCAUCACAAACAAUCUUAAGAAAAAUUGUAGGACUCUGAAAUCGGUGAAGGAAACCUUGAUCUACACUAGGACCCCUUGCUUUAACUGCAAAUGGAUGCAAUUGGCUUGAUAAUUGACUCCUCACAUCUACUUGAUAUCCUCUCCUCCGCAUACGGUAGUGAGAAACGGUUUCUGCCCCAGAAGUAUUCAGAAUCAACCAACACAUAUAAAGCUUCAUCAAUGCAUAAUUCUAGAUACAUUUAUGACAUGUGCUCUAAAACUGGAUAUAGUGUAAAGAGCUCCAGUGAGAAGGUUAUCCAAAUUCCAAAAGCAGCUAGUCCAAAAUAUCCUUUUUGAUACAUUGAUAACUUUUGUUUUAUGAUCAUUGCCAUCAUCAGAAGAAGUAUACCGAAUUAUAACCGCAUCAUUACAAGUUAUGAGAAGUUUUAAGUAAAUCUGAACUAAGCAGAAAAGUAUAAUGCUCGAGAUUGUGGUACAUAGGUAUCUCCUGUUCAAGCUCCUCAAUAGGGAGUAUUAACUUUAAGUACAGAUGAAUCGAUUACUUCACCAGACUUGUUCAUGAAAAUCUAACGGUUCCCAUCAAGAAAAAGCCAAUUAAAAGAUGGAAGCCACACAUUUUGAUCGGAAGCAGGAAGACAAUGUCUCAAGCCUGGAUCACUUGGUCCUGAAUGACCAUACCCAGGAAUAACACGAUAUCCAUACAAAAAUGUGGAGAUGUAAAUGUAGAAUCUAACCUACUUAGUACAACGUUAAAUUAGAACAUGUAGCUAAACUCUUAGAGUAAGUUUUUUUUUGGUAAAGAACUCUUAGAGUAAGUUGUGGAGAAAGAAAUCAAAUAAUUUCUGACACACUCCAUGUCAUGUUACGAGCCAAUUGAAUGGGAGAAAUUCAACCUGCAGAAUAAAGCAAACUGAAAAAAUGUCCAGUUCAUCAACGCAUCUUGCUGCUGGCAAUCGAAUAAGCAGACAUCAUAUGCAGAAAUAACGAACAGCAAAAAUGGAACAUAAGAAAUUCAAAUACCAAAGACAGGAACCAUCUAAUGUUGAACAGAGAAAAGCUACUCUCCCAUACUGUCAUUCUUUUAUUUACGUCACGACAUAAAAAAAACUUUUCAUUGGCCGACAAGUCCCUCAAUCAUCGUGGGAAACCAAUGUCGUAACAUCAUCUUAGCACUCCCCGCCGUUUGCCAAUUUCCACCACAUUACUCAAUAACUCAAUCAAGGACAGUUCCGAAUCAGACUCUCGGCAAAUGGCCAGGUCGAAUUAAGCUCAAUCCGAGACGACGCUCGCAUUCCAACAGUUCAAAAUCGUGCAUACCCGCAGCCAACGAGUCUCAGCACGAUCAAGGCAUUCCCCCAAUUUUCAUCACGUAGUACGUAGGUCUCACGAUUCAGGAACACUGCUGCCUACACAAACGCACGUAAUCCGAAACCAACGAGAACACCGGCACACGGACGGCGGCAAACGCGAUACCUGCGAGGAGGAGAGAGGCCUGGAGGUAGUCGCCGUCGUCGUCGCCGUAGCCGUAGCCGUCGCCGUCGUCGGGGCAGCUCGAUCCGCCGCCGGGGCUCCCGCGGGACGACCUGCACGAAACGGGCCGGGACUUGACGCCGCCGCCGCCGCGGCACCGACUCCUCCCUCCCCGCGGCCGGACCGACGCGCGGAGGGGAGAGGAAGUACAUGGAGCCGCGAUCGUCAGCCGGCCGGCGCGCGACUGCUCGGCGGCGCCGUGGCCGGAGAUCGCGCGGACGCACGGAUGAGCCGCGAGCAUUGUAGAGAGAGAGAGAGAGAGAGAGAGGUGACGGAGUGGUAGUGAGGAAGGUAGGUGGUGA
RNAcentral lists this long non-coding RNA (6760 nucleotides) under Eucalyptus grandis. RNAcentral describes it as "long non-coding RNA (EGRA_LNC005720)". The record is from RNAcentral. Lineage: Eukaryota; Viridiplantae; Streptophyta; Magnoliopsida; Myrtales; Myrtaceae.